CUGAAUUGGAAUUUUAUUGAGAAAAAGAAAAACGAAAAAAACAAAGAAAACCCGUUGAAGGCACAACAGACGCAAACUAACGGGCUACGAAACUAUAACGGCGAAGACCCAGAGGGAAAAACAUCGUGAGAGGAAAAAAGAGUCAAGAAAUGUGCAGGAGCUACAUAGCAGGAACCCCAUGACAAUCAAAAAUCAAGAGCAUCAUCCUCCGUAUGAUUAUAAGAAUCUAUGAUGUCCCCCCAACGUUGAUUAGAGACCGUAUGAAUAUCAGAAUCCAUGAUGUCCCCCCAACGUUGAUUAGAGACCGUAUGAAUAUCAGAAUCCAUGAUGUCCCCCCAACGUUGAUAAGAGACUCCCGUCAUCGCAAGAGCCGCUGCAUCCCCGGGAAUAUCCGAAGGUCUACUAAUAUUGGAGCCUGGAAUAGCAGGAUGUCGUAACCGGUGCUUUAAAGAGGUAUCAGAAACCCCCCUUUUCCCGAAUUGCUUGGUAGCGCCCUUAGGACGCCCUCUGCCUCGCUUGCCCGUAGGAGCUUCAGUGAGCUCGACUGUUGAUGAGGCUGGGCGAACCUGAUCAAGAGGCAUAUCACUCCUCCCCGAGGCCACACGUGUAGAAGGUUGCUGUCCGCCAGUUGCAUGAGUCGAGUCAUCAUGCAGAGGAACGAUUGAAACACCAGACUCAGGGGUGCGAGCGAUGCAAGGCGCAUCCUGAGAUGCUGAAGUCGUAAUAGCGGCUGUGGGAAUGCCACUACUAGAAUUAGGCACAACAUGUGUGGUAGACACUGACCCAGACGGUUUCUCGAGUACCACUUGGGAAGCAUGGAUGCCCAAAAAAUUUGGUUCAGUCAUCGUAGCCGCAUCGAUCCCAUGACUUGAAUCCUCAAUAGCAAGAACGUUAAGACAAUUGGCUUUAGUAGGAGAAGUUGCCCUCAAAGCCGGAGAACCCAAAACCAACACCGGUCCCCUCGGCGUGAACUGCUGUUGCUCCGUCAAAGGAGCAGCCUGCUGCUGCUCGGGCUCUUGCUGAGAUUGUGAGCCAUCUGCCGCCUCCUCUGAGAGUAGCGCAAACCGAUUUUUAUCCUGAGUUCGCGGGGAAAGUUGUUGCUUCUCCUGCUGAGUAUGUCCCGAAGCCGGAACCACCUGCCAUUGAGGACCCUCCGGCACCGGUCUUUUGAGAACCUCUGCUGAAUUCUUGCGACUCCCUGGAUCAGUUUGGUUAUCUCCCUUAGUUAUCACAUUUUCCUUUUCCGAAUUCACCUUAACCUGAUCUGUGAUCUCCACUCGAGGUUGUUUCUUAUUGCAAUUAUCAACACAAUGCCCAGUGAUCCUGCAAUGUGUACAGUAAAGAGGUAAUUUCUCAUAAUAGAAUUCUACGUGAUAAGCCAUAUCAUCUCCUUGAACUUGCAUCGACUCUUGCAGCGGAAGCGAUAAAUCAACUUCGACAAGCAGCCGAACAUAAUGCCCAACAUCGGCAUAGGCAGACGCCCCAUCAAUUUAAUAGAAGUGCCAACACGUUGCCAAUAGCUGUGAUAACNUUAUUGCAAUUAUCAACACAAUGCCCAGUGAUCCUGCAAUGUGUACAGUAAAGAGGUAAUUUCUCAUAAUAGAAUUCUACGUGAUAAGCCAUAUCAUCUCCUUGAACUUGCAUCGACUCUUGCAGCGGAAGCGAUAAAUCAACUUCGACAAGCAGCCUAACAUAAUGCCCAACAUCGGCAUAGGCAGACGCCCCAUCAAUUUUAAUAGAAGUGCCAACAACGUUGCCAAUAGCUGUGAUAACUUCAGGAUGCCAGAACUCCACAGGAAGAUUAUAUAUUCUAACCCAAACUUGGCUCAACGAAGAAACUUCCUUAUAGGGAUUAAACCCUUUCACCCACUCCCUCACUAACGGAAGGGAUCCCUUCGACAACUUCCAGAACUUUCGAUCCUUAACAAUGUUCUUAUCCUCCAUUGUAUCAAACUUCAAGAUAUAAAAGCCCUUACACAUUUUUUGGCUCAACGAAGAAACUUACAGGAAGAUUAUAUAUUCUAACCCAAACUUGGCUCAACGAAGAAACUUCCUUAUAGGGAUUAAACCCUUUCACCCACUCCCUCAUACGAAGGGAUCCCUUCGACAACUUCCAGAACUUUCGAUCCUUAACAAUGUUCUUAUCCUCCAUUGAAGCCGCUCAUAGUUUGGCGCAGUAUGCGCGUUUGAUUGUUGAUUGUUGCCAGUGGACGCAUGAUUAUCCACAGUGGCUUAGGGACAUUGUACGUCUUGAUAUGGAAUAAUAAAGUCGUACGUUUUCCCUCUCAAAAAAAAAGAUAUAAAAGCCCUUACACAUUGGAAUCAACUUCCACUCCGAUGAAAUCUUCCAUAUCGAUUGUAGUUCCUGCUUAAGUUCAGCGGUAGGACGAGGCGUAUCACCUUUUUCCAAUAACAGUUUUCCAAUAAUUGCGUAUCGAAAUUCCUCAAACCGUUUCUUGCAAAAUUCAGAAGGCAAAGAAAGAGUAAAGCCAUGACCUGAUUCUUGUGCCUGAAGCGCCGUGAACUUAUGAGCAAAGACAUCUGGGCGUCGCAAAAGGCGGGGGGCAACCGCACCAGCGUAAGAACCACGUUGAUUAUCCGGGAGAAAAUCCCUCUUCGCGCCGGAUCCAUCAGGAUAGCAAGUCUUUGUCGCAGCAGCAUGAGAAGGGUUAUUUCCAGGAGAGAAAUGAGUGUCUAGUGUCGUCGGUUGCACCCCCGUAGAGGAUCUGGCAUCGACAGUGGCUAGAAUACUCUGUUCGUGGGCAGAGAUCAGAUCCUUUCCCCCAGCAG
This 2790-nucleotide long non-coding RNA is filed under the name Salvia miltiorrhiza (redroot sage). RNAcentral's name for it is "long non-coding RNA (SMIL_LNC005182)". The record is from RNAcentral. Lineage: Eukaryota; Viridiplantae; Streptophyta; Magnoliopsida; Lamiales; Lamiaceae.